AAAGCUCAUGCAAAGAAAAAGCUAAGAGGAGACUUUGUUUUAAUGCACAUGUAAGUUGUUUGCAGUGCUGCAAUGUGUGCAUUAGUUGUUUCCAUGGACUUAUUGGGUUACUACCUUAACUUAUAAAGCCAUGAAUAUUCUGAAGAUGUUUUUGUUAUGAACAGUUAAUUGUGUUUGUUUUUUCAUUGUAACCUACUAAUUGGAUAAUAGUAAUGCAUAUUCUCCUGUUGCUUCAAUGACAUUUUCAUGUCAUAGACACUAAA
RNAcentral lists this long non-coding RNA (263 nucleotides) under Carica papaya (papaya). RNAcentral's name for it is "long non-coding RNA (CPAP_LNC003951)". Lineage: Eukaryota; Viridiplantae; Streptophyta; Magnoliopsida; Brassicales; Caricaceae. The record is from RNAcentral.